This 186-nucleotide ribosomal RNA is filed under the name uncultured bacterium. RNAcentral describes it as "partial 16S ribosomal RNA". It matches the Rfam family "Bacterial small subunit ribosomal RNA", at positions 339 to 523 of the family's 1533-position model. The record is from RNAcentral.
CUACGGGAGGCAGCAGUAGGGAAUAUUGGACAAUGGGUGCGAGCCUGAUCCAGCCAUGCCGCGUGCAGGAAGACGGCCUUCUGGGUUGUAAACUGCUUUUGCCAGGGGAUAAAACGUCCAUGCGUGGAUAAUUGAAGGUACCUGGUGAAUAAGCCACGGCUAACUACGUGCCAGCAGCCGCGGUAA